RNAcentral lists this ribosomal RNA (608 nucleotides) under uncultured bacterium. Its description in RNAcentral is "bacterial SSU rRNA". It matches the Rfam family "Bacterial small subunit ribosomal RNA", at positions 202 to 811 of the family's 1533-position model. The record is from RNAcentral.
GAAAGAUUCAUCGGAAGAGGAUGGGCAUGCGGCGCAUUAGCUAGACGGCGGGGUAACGGCCCACCGUGGCGACGAUGCGUAGGGGUUCUGAGAGGAACCUCCCCCACACUGGUACUGAGACACGGACCAGACUCCUACGGGAGGCAGCAGUGAGGAAUAUUGGUCAAUGGGAGAGAUCCUGAACCAGCCAAGCCGCGUGAGGGAAGACGGCCCUAUGGGUUGUAAACCUCUUUUGUCGGAGAACAAAACCCGGGACGUGUCCCGGACUGCGUGUAUCCGAAGAAAAAGCAUCGGCUAACUCCGUGCCAGCAGCCGCGGUAAUACGGAGGAUGCGGGCGUUAUCCGGAUUUAUUGGGUUUAAAGGGUGCGUAGGCGGUCCGUUAAGUCAGCGGUAAAAUUGCGGGGCUCAACCCCGUCGAGCCGUUGAAACUGGCAGACUUGAGUUGGCGAGAAGUACGCGGAAUGCGCGGUGUAGCGGUGAAAUGCAUAGAUAUCGCGCAGAACUCCGAUUGCGAAGGCAGCGUACCGGCGCCAGACUGACGCUGAGGCACGAAAGCGUGGGGAUCGAACAGGAUUAGAUACCCUGGUAGUCCACGCAGUAAACGAUG